This 250-nucleotide ribosomal RNA is filed under the name uncultured bacterium. Its description in RNAcentral is "partial 16S ribosomal RNA". It matches the Rfam family "Bacterial small subunit ribosomal RNA", at positions 524 to 772 of the family's 1533-position model. The record is from RNAcentral.
UACGUAGGUGGCGAGCGUUGUCCGGAUUUACUGGGCGUAAAGCGUGCGCAGGCGGCGCGUUAAGACAGGUGUGAAAGCCCCCGAGCUUAACUUGGGAAUUGCGCUUGUGACUGGCGUGCUGGAGUGUGGCAGAGGGAGGUGGAAUUCCACGUGUAGCAGUGAAAUGCGUAGAGAUGUGGAGGAACACCGAUGGCGAAGGCAGCCUCCUGGGCCAGCACUGACGCUCAUGCACGAAAGCGUGGGGAGCGAA